Molecule: non-coding RNA, 73 nt
Organism: Marmota monax (woodchuck)
Lineage: Eukaryota; Metazoa; Chordata; Mammalia; Rodentia; Sciuridae
Source: the annotation of a RefSeq genome assembly
GGGGGUGUAGCUCAGUGGUAGAGCUUUUGCCUAGCACACACAAGGCCCUGGGUUAGAUCCCCAGCACCACACA